CUGGCCAUGUGUAGCUUUAGCUGUGCUGAGGGCAGUGGAAUGCAGUCUGAUGAUUACCAGGGAGCCCAGAGACUAAAGCUUCCGUAAUGGCUCCACCGACUGACCGUGGUGCAGCUGGGCAGGCUUCUGAAUGUGCUUAAAGUCCUAUAUUUAGGAAGGGCUCCAUGCAACAUCUGGGUUGCUGUGUGGCUGCUGGGGAACAGCACAUACAGAACUGGACUCAAAGCUCAGAAUGCUAAUUGAGAAACAGCCUGGUGUUUAGUUCCGAAGUCAAGGGGAAAGCAAUGUGGGAGGAGAUAUCUCCAGGUGCAAGAUGGCUCAGUGAGACCACGUUUUAGCCUUGGCACUGACUCAAUUAGAAGGUGGGCGUCUACUUCCUGAAAACACUGCACCCAAUACUGACAGGACGCUGAGAAAGAAAACGAUGUUCGAGAACCGCAAGAUAAUCCUCUCACUGUUCUUGACGUUGGUGGGGCUUUUCCAUUAUAUUCCUGUUGAAUCAUUGCAUUCUAACUUUAAGAGAGAUUAGUGAAGGGGAGAAUAAGAGAAUGAAAAUAACUAGAGAUUUGAAAAUGGGGCUUAGGAACCAGGUUACAACACACAAUCGUGACUUGGGGAAGAUCACGUACCCGCACAACAGUUAACUUGCAGUAGAAGCGUACUGUGAAUCAGAUGGGAAAUCAGCUCCAAGACAGGACAGUUGAAAAUUAACCUGGGAAAAACAAGGCCUCUUGUUUUUCCAGAAACUUGAACAAAUAAGAUAUAGCCUUUAAAAUAAAGGGCAUUUUUAGUACAGGAAAAAUAGAUAAGGAAGUUGUUUUUGAUCCUUCUCAAAAAUUCUUUCAUCUUUUCACUGUGAUUUGUAGGUCAGUGGGAGGGAUUCUGUCCUUGGGUCUUUUCUGAUUUUCAGCAAUAAAACAUUAAGAUUCUUUCUUUGGGGUGUCUUCUACUUUCCAGCUUACUCCCUCUGGCACUUCCUACAGUCCUUUGCUCUUUGUAGCCCCAGCUGACUACUGAUUGGUAGCACUAUCCGUUCUCUAUCUUUUGUCCUGUUGGCCUCUCCCUUUCUUUGGGCAUGCACGCACACGUGUCUGGCAUGAGUUUUAAGCUACUGGGUCUGGGAUUUGA
Tupaia belangeri chinensis (Chinese tree shrew) is the source of this 1128-nucleotide long non-coding RNA. RefSeq lists it as uncharacterized. The transcript is spliced from 3 exons. Lineage: Eukaryota; Metazoa; Chordata; Mammalia; Scandentia; Tupaiidae. The record is from RefSeq and is a predicted model, not a curated record.